GAUGAACGCUGGCGGCGUGCCUAAUACAUGCAAGUCGAACGAACAGACGAUGAGCUUUCGCCUCUGACGUUAGCGGCUGGCGGGUGAGUAACAAGUGGAUAGCCUACCUAUAAUUCGUGGAUAACUUCGUGAAACCGGAUCUAAUACCACAUCAUAUGUUCUACCGCAGUGUUCAAUAGUUAAUGACGGUUUUCCCGUUUCUUAUAGCUGGUGCCGCGCCGCAUUAGCUAGUUGGUAAGGUAAAGGCUUACCAAGGCAACGAUGCGUAGCCGAGCUGAGAGGGUGAUCGGCCACACUGGAACUGAGACACGGUCCAGACUCCUACGGGAGGCAGCAGUAGGGAAUCUUCCGCAAUGGGCGAAAGCCUGACGGAGCAAUGCCGCGUGAGUGAUGAAGGCCUUCGGAUCGUAAAACUCUGUUAUUAGGGAAGAAAAAAUGUGUAAGAAAACAUGCCUGUUUUGACGGUACCUAAUGAGAAAGCAACGGCUAACUACGUG
This 497-nucleotide ribosomal RNA is filed under the name uncultured bacterium. Its description in RNAcentral is "partial 16S ribosomal RNA". It matches the Rfam family "Bacterial small subunit ribosomal RNA", at positions 28 to 507 of the family's 1533-position model. The record is from RNAcentral.